Molecule: ribosomal RNA, 253 nt
Filed under: uncultured bacterium
Lineage: Bacteria
Description: partial 16S ribosomal RNA
Rfam family: Bacterial small subunit ribosomal RNA
Source: RNAcentral
UACGAACCGUGCAACCGUUGCUCGGAAUCACUGGGCUUAAAGGGCGCGUAGGCGGGCUCGCCAGUCAGGGGUGAAAGCCCACAGCUCAACUGUGGAAGUGCCUUUGAUACUGCGAGUCUCGAGGGAGGUAGGGGCGUGCGGAACUUCCGGUGGAGCGGUGAAAUGCGUAGAUAUCGGAAGGAACACCGGUGGCGAAAGCGGCGCGCUGGACCUCUUCUGACGCUGAGGCGCGAAAGCCAGGGGAGCAAACGGG